RNAcentral lists this ribosomal RNA (2773 nucleotides) under Escherichia coli. RNAcentral's name for it is "bacterial LSU rRNA". It matches the Rfam family "Bacterial large subunit ribosomal RNA". The record is from RNAcentral. Lineage: Bacteria; Pseudomonadati; Pseudomonadota; Gammaproteobacteria; Enterobacterales; Enterobacteriaceae.
AGCGUACACGGUGGAUGCCCUGGCAGUCAGAGGCGAUGAAGGACGUGCUAAUCUGCGAUAAGCGUCGGUGAGGUGAUAUGAACCGUUAUAACCGGCGAUUUCCGAAUGGGGAAACCCAGUGUGUUUCGACACACUAUCAUUAACUGAAUCCAUAGGUUAAUGAGGCGAACCGGGGGAACUGAAACAUCUAAGUACCCCGAGGAAAAGAAAUCAACCGAGAUUCCCCCAGUAGCGGCGAGCGAACGGGGAGGAGCCCAGAGCCUGAAUCAGUGUGUGUGUUAGUGGAAGCGUCUGGAAAGGCGCGCGAUACAGGGUGACAGCCCCGUACACAAAAAUGCACAUACUGUGAGCUCGAUGAGUAGGGCGGGACACGUGGUAUCCUGUCUGAAUAUGGGGGGACCAUCCUCCAAGGCUAAAUACUCCUGACUGACCGAUAGUGAACCAGUACCGUGAGGGAAAGGCGAAAAGAACCCCGGCGAGGGGAGUGAAAAAGAACCUGAAACCGUGUACGUACAAGCAGUGGGAGCCUCUUAAUGGGGUGACUGCGUACCUUUUGUAUAAUGGGUCAGCGACUUAUAUUCUGUAGCAAGGUUAACCGAAUAGGGGAGCCGAAGGGAAACCGAGUCUUAACUGGGCGUUAAGUUGCAGGGUAUAGACCCGAAACCCGGUGAUCUAGCCAUGGGCAGGUUGAAGGUUGGGUAACACUAACUGGAGGACCGAACCGACUAAUGUUGAAAAAUUAGCGGAUGACUUGUGGCUGGGGGUGAAAGGCCAAUCAAACCGGGAGAUAGCUGGUUCUCCCCGAAAGCUAUUUAGGUAGCGCCUCGUGAAUUCAUCUCCGGGGGUAGAGCACUGUUUCGGCAAGGGGGUCAUCCCGACUUACCAACCCGAUGCAAACUGCGAAUACCGGAGAAUGUUAUCACGGGAGACACACGGCGGGUGCUAACGUCCGUCGUGAAGAGGGAAACAACCCAGACCGCCAGCUAAGGUCCCAAAGUCAUGGUUAAGUGGGAAACGAUGUGGGAAGGCCCAGACAGCCAGGAUGUUGGCUUAGAAGCAGCCAUCAUUUAAAGAAAGCGUAAUAGCUCACUGGUCGAGUCGGCCUGCGCGGAAGAUGUAACGGGGCUAAACCAUGCACCGAAGCUGCGGCAGCGACACUAUGUGUUGUUGGGUAGGGGAGCGUUCUGUAAGCCUGUGAAGGUGGCCUGUGAGGGUUGCUGGAGGUAUCAGAAGUGCGAAUGCUGACAUAAGUAACGAUAAAGCGGGUGAAAAGCCCGCUCGCCGGAAGACCAAGGGUUCCUGUCCAACGUUAAUCGGGGCAGGGUGAGUCGACCCCUAAGGCGAGGCCGAAAGGCGUAGUCGAUGGGAAACAGGUUAAUAUUCCUGUACUUGGUGUUACUGCGAAGGGGGGACGGAGAAGGCUAUGUUGGCCGGGCGACGGUUGUCCCGGUUUAAGCGUGUAGGCUGGUUUUCCAGGCAAAUCCGGAAAAUCAAGGCUGAGGCGUGAUGACGAGGCACUACGGUGCUGAAGCAACAAAUGCCCUGCUUCCAGGAAAAGCCUCUAAGCAUCAGGUAACAUCAAAUCGUACCCCAAACCGACACAGGUGGUCAGGUAGAGAAUACCAAGGCGCUUGAGAGAACUCGGGUGAAGGAACUAGGCAAAAUGGUGCCGUAACUUCGGGAGAAGGCACGCUGAUAUGUAGGUGAAGCGACUUGCUCGUGGAGCUGAAAUCAGUCGAAGAUACCAGCUGGCUGCAACUGUUUAUUAAAAACACAGCACUGUGCAAACACGAAAGUGGACGUAUACGGUGUGACGCCUGCCCGGUGCCGGAAGGUUAAUUGAUGGGGUUAGCGGCAACGCGAAGCUCUUGAUCGAAGCCCCGGUAAACGGCGGCCGUAACUAUAACGGUCCUAAGGUAGCGAAAUUCCUUGUCGGGUAAGUUCCGACCUGCACGAAUGGCGUAAUGAUGGCCAGGCUGUCUCCACCCGAGACUCAGUGAAAUUGAACUCGCUGUGAAGAUGCAGUGUACCCGCGGCAAGACGGAAAGACCCCGUGAACCUUUACUAUAGCUUGACACUGAACAUUGAGCCUUGAUGUGUAGGAUAGGUGGGAGGCUUUGAAGUGUGGACGCCAGUCUGCAUGGAGCCGACCUUGAAAUACCACCCUUUAAUGUUUGAUGUUCUAACGUGGGCCCGUAAUCCGGGUUGCGGACAGUGUCUGGUGGGUAGUUUGACUGGGGCGGUCUCCUCCUAAAGAGUAACGGAGGAGCACGAAGGUUGGCUAAUCCUGGUCGGACAUCAGGAGGUUAGUGCAAUGGCAUAAGCCAGCUUGACUGCGAGCGUGACGGCGCGAGCAGGUGCGAAAGCAGGUCAUAGUGAUCCGGUGGUUCUGAAUGGAAGGGCCAUCGCUCAACGGAUAAAAGGUACUCCGGGGAUAACAGGCUGAUACCGCCCAAGAGUUCAUAUCGACGGCGGUGUUUGGCACCUCGAUGUCGGCUCAUCACAUCCUGGGGCUGAAGUAGGUCCCAAGGGUAUGGCUGUUCGCCAUUUAAAGUGGUACGCGAGCUGGGUUUAGAACGUCGUGAGACAGUUCGGUCCCUAUCUGCCGUGGGCGCUGGAGAACUGAGGGGGGCUGCUCCUAGUACGAGAGGACCGGAGUGGACGCAUCACUGGUGUUCGGGUUGUCAUGCCAAUGGCACUGCCCGGUAGCUAAAUGCGGAAGAGAUAAGUGCUGAAAGCAUCUAAGCACGAAACUUGCCCCGAGAUGAGUUCU